RNAcentral lists this ribosomal RNA (301 nucleotides) under uncultured bacterium. Its description in RNAcentral is "partial 16S ribosomal RNA". It matches the Rfam family "Bacterial small subunit ribosomal RNA", at positions 509 to 807 of the family's 1533-position model. The record is from RNAcentral.
CAGCCGCCGCGGGAAUACGGAGGGAGCUAGCGUUGUUCGGAAUCACUGGGCGUAAAGGGUGCGUAGGCGGGUCUUUAAGUCAGGGGUGAAAUCCUGGAGCUCAACUCCAGAACUGCCUUUGAUACUGAAGAUCUUGAGUAUGGGAGAGGUGAGUGGAACUGCGAGUGUAGAGGUGAAAUUCGUAGAUAUUCGCAAGAACACCAGUGGCGAAGGCGGCUCACUGGCCCAUAACUGACGCUGAGGCACGAAAGCGUGGGGAGCAAACAGGAUUAGAUACCCCCGUAGUCCCUGUCUCUUAUAC